This 58-nucleotide ribosomal RNA is filed under the name Anabaena sp. AL93. Its description in RNAcentral is "partial 23S ribosomal RNA". Lineage: Bacteria; Bacillati; Cyanobacteriota; Cyanophyceae; Nostocales; Nostocaceae. The record is from RNAcentral.
GUGGAAGUACAGUAAUGUAUGAAGCUGAGGGGUACUAAUAGACCGAGGGCUUGACCUC